CCCAGACUCCUACGGGAGGCAGCAGUGGGGAAUAUUGCACAAUGGGGGAAACCCUGAUGCAGCGACGCCGCGUGGGUGAAGGAGCGUUUCGGCGCGUAAAGCCCUAUCGGCAGGGAAGAAGAUGACGGUACCUGACCAAGAAGCCCCGGCUAACUACGUGCCAGCAGCCGCGGGAAUACGUAGGGGGCAAGCGUUAUCCGGAUUUACUGGGUGUAAAGGGAGCGUAGACGGCUGUGCAAGUCUGAAGUGAAAGCCCGUGGCUCAACCGCGGAACUGCUUUGGAAACUGUAUAGCUUGAGUACUGGAGAGGCAGGCGGAAUUCCUAGUGUAGCGGUGAAAUGCGUAGAUAUUAGGAGGAACACCAGUGGCGAAGGCGGCCUGCUGGACAGAAACUGACGUUGAGGCUCGAAAGCGUGGGGAGCAAACAGGAUUAGAUACCCCCGUACG
Molecule: ribosomal RNA, 447 nt
Filed under: uncultured bacterium
Lineage: Bacteria
Description: bacterial SSU rRNA
Rfam family: Bacterial small subunit ribosomal RNA
Source: RNAcentral